AAGUCGUAACAAGGUUUCCGUAGGUGAACCUGAAGGAUCAUUAACACGUAUCCAAACGUUAAAACCCCCCCCCGUGAACCUUCAUCCUGCUCUUGUAACCCGCGUAGUUGGCAAUCUCUGAUAAAUCAUAGCCCAGAAAGUUGUAGUGAUUCAGAGACCUCUGGCUACGUGCGAACAUUGGAACCGAGCGGUAGUUCGAUAGGCAAUGUCAUUGAUUGUGCAAGGAUAGCGCUUGUACGAUUCCUGUAGACCGUACACUCGGGCAGGAGCUUUGCCAAAGGGUCCCCAUGCCCCCUAAUAACCCCACAGUUUAAUGUGAAGCUCAAUGUAAUACACUGGGUCAAAAAACCGAACAACUGUUAACAAUGGGUAUCUUGGUUCUC
RNAcentral lists this unclassified non-coding RNA (383 nucleotides) under fungal sp. Its description in RNAcentral is "partial internal transcribed spacer region". Lineage: Eukaryota; Fungi. The record is from RNAcentral.